CUUCCCCACCCCAAGCAUCAAUGUCAGUUCCUGAGUGGGAGAGGGGGGAAGUGUGGGGAGCUCAGCGCAGUGCAGGUAUGGUGGUGGGGCUAUUCGGAUGCUCCUGCUGGCAAACCCGCACUGCGCUGAGCCAACCCAUGCCUCGCCCUCCUCUCUCUCAGGAACUGGCAUGGAUGCUUGGCACUGGGAA
Molecule: non-coding RNA, 190 nt
Organism: Podarcis lilfordi (Lilford's wall lizard)
Lineage: Eukaryota; Metazoa; Chordata; Lepidosauria; Squamata; Lacertidae
Source: the annotation of a GenBank genome assembly